Molecule: long non-coding RNA, 1063 nt
Filed under: Coturnix japonica (Japanese quail)
Lineage: Eukaryota; Metazoa; Chordata; Aves; Galliformes; Phasianidae
Description: lncRNA (ENSCJPG00005004393.1)
Source: RNAcentral
CUGUUCUGUCUGUUUCCACAUUAAAAUCCCAUUCCAACACUGUCAAAAAUCUAAGAAAAUUAUGGAUAGCUGUAUACUGAAAGAUGGGCAAUUCAAGGCCAGGGAGUAUGGAGAAACAUUUUUGUGAACUUCAUUUUUAGCUGUGUUCCUUAAUCACAUCUAGAAUUGUGAUGUUUGUAAUGUUGUAAUAUUGUAAAUCACUUACUCAUAGGAAAUUCAAGACCAGGUAUAUCAGGGUAAGAAUAUGUGCAUAUGCUCUUUAUUUAAGUCUCAGUGCAAUCUGGAAUCCAUAGCAUAUUAAAAAAAAAUUUAAAAAAAUUAGUUCAGUACAGAUGGCAAAAUCUGCAUCUUAUUUUCUUUUCUCACUAGAUACCGUACCAUAAAGCCAGGAAAGUUGGAAUGAGGAAAAACUGAAGAGGUUCUCCCAUGUUAUUUCUCAUGACAUCCUGCAUUCACUAAAGGUUUCUGAAGCCACCAUGCUCUGUGCAUCUAAACAUACAGUCUCAUGCCUGUCACAGGACAUAGAUGCUCACAUAUUCAGACAACCCAAUGCCAGAUAUGGAAAACACAUCUUAAGAGACCUCAACUACUACGUGCACGUAAAAAUAAAUAGACUAUUUAGCAGAGAAGCCAUAAAUCCAAAGCAUUUGGCAUCAUAUUUAUGCUUCCUGGUGAGAUCUCAUACAUCUUAAAGACUAUGCUGAAUAGAGUGGAAACAAUGCCUUUUGCUACAGUAGGAUUCCAAAGACCAGGCUCUGUGAAAGACUGGUGAGAACCUCAUCAAGAAGAAGACAGCAAGUCAGACGGAAUUCACUUGUCUUCAGGAUUAUCCAAACUCUCCAGGAGUUCUAAAGAGUUUUAUUCUUAUGUUUGGUUGGUUUUGUUGCUUUUACAUUUAGGAAAAUCCAUAUAUUCAAAUUCCUACAGAGAUUUGCUAAAAGUAGCUCAGUGGUAGGUUGUCAAACUGAAAGAUAUAAAGGUUCUCCUAGAGAACCAUAAUCCAUGAAAUGAAUAUCCAGUUGCCAUACCUGUCAUGUAUCACCCAGGUUGCUACUUUAUAUAA